This 952-nucleotide long non-coding RNA is filed under the name Homo sapiens (human). RNAcentral's name for it is "non-protein coding lnc-ARRDC4-10:1". Lineage: Eukaryota; Metazoa; Chordata; Mammalia; Primates; Hominidae. The record is from RNAcentral.
AGGCAUACUGUCCGUACACUGAGCAAAACUGCAUUUUUGUUUCUAGGAUACAUUUUCAUAUCACCUAGAGAGAUAAUUUAUUCAUUGAAUGCUAGAUUUAAAAUAAUUUUCAGUUGAUACUAGAUUGAAAAAUUGAAAAAAAAUGCAGCAAAAUAAGGUUGUUAAGGGUUUUACAUGUAAGAUUAUAUUAUUUAUGGGUAUUAAAAAUCUACCAAGAUUUUACCUUAAAUAAGAAUUUCCCUUAAUCUUACUGAUUAAAAUUUCUUCCAUCCAAAUUUAUAAAAAUAAUCCUACAUUAGGGUAUUAAAUCUCUUUCAGAUAAAUUAUGCAUGAGAAAUCUGAUCAGAUACAUUAGGAACUGAGAAUGUUGAUUAUCCUAUAAUCUCUACAUAUUCAUUUCUAAUAAGGGGUAAUUCCAUUUAAUGUAGUGAUCCUUUUCCAGUUGGAGAUUUGAAUUUGAUAUCUCAGUGCUUAGUAGCCUUCCCAGAGUUUCAAUAUGAAGCUUUAAAAGAAUUCCUUCUGCUUCCUUUCCUGAUUUUUGAAACUUCUUUUACUUCUGCUACUGCCCAAUUACUCUGGGAUCUGGACUUGCACACCAAUGUCUGGUGAAAAGAAGAAAAAUGAAUUCAAAGGCUAUAUUAGAUUUUAACAUGUUCGAAAAAUAUUUAAAAAGGAAGAAGGCAAAAGAAGAAAGGGAGGGAGGAAAGGAGGAAAGGGAAAAGGACAGAAAAAGAAGAAAGAGGGAAAAUGAGUUUUGUAUACAUACGUUUUUUUAAAUUACAAUCACUUCUAUUUUCUAUAAGGCAUGGUAAUUUUCAUAAAUGUCCCCCUUCCCACAAUUAUUAUUAUUUUGUAAAAAUAAUAUUAUUUCUUAAAAUAAUAUUUUUACAGAAUAAUAGUGGGGAGGGGGGCAUUUAUGAAAAUUUCAAUUGGAUAUAAACUUCUGUAGUAG